AUUGAACGCUGGCGGCGUGCCUAACACAUGCAAGUCGAGCGGUAACAGGUGUAGCAAUACAUGCUGACGAGCGGCGGACGGGUGAGUAACGCUUGGGAAUCUGCCUGUUAGUGGGGGACAACCCGGGGAAACGUCGGGCUAAUACCGCAUACGCACUACGGUGGAAAGCCGGGGACCGCAAGGCCUGGCGCUAACAGAUGAGCCCAAGUCGGAUUAGCUAGUUGGUAGGGUAACGGCCACCAAGGCGACGAUCCGUAACUGGUCUGAGAGGACGACCAGUCACACCGGAACUGAGACACGGUCCGGACUCCUACGGGAGGCAGCAGUGGGGAAUAUUGGACAAUGGGCGAAAGACCUGAUCCAGCGACGCCGCGUGGGUGAAGAA
RNAcentral lists this ribosomal RNA (385 nucleotides) under uncultured bacterium. Its description in RNAcentral is "bacterial SSU rRNA". It matches the Rfam family "Bacterial small subunit ribosomal RNA", at positions 29 to 412 of the family's 1533-position model. The record is from RNAcentral.